This 492-nucleotide ribosomal RNA is filed under the name uncultured bacterium. RNAcentral describes it as "partial 16S ribosomal RNA". It matches the Rfam family "Bacterial small subunit ribosomal RNA", at positions 29 to 507 of the family's 1533-position model. The record is from RNAcentral.
AUUGAACGCUGGCGGCAUGCUUUACACAUGCAAGUCGAACGGUAACAGGCCUUCGUGUGCUGACGAGUGGCGAACGGGUGAGUAAUGCAUCGGAACGUGCCCAGAGGUGGGGGAUAACGCAGCGAAAGCUGUGCUAAUACCGCAUGCGAUCUGAGGAUGAAAGCGGGGGACCAAGCAGCAAUGUUUGGCCUCGCGCCUCUGGAGCGGCCGAUGUCAGAUUAGGUAGUUGGUGGGGUAAAGGCCUACCAAGCCGACGAUCCGUAGCUGGUCUGAGAGGACGACCGGCCACACUGGGACUGAGACACGGCCCAGACUCCUACGGGAGGCAGCAGUGGGGAAUUUUGGGCAAGGGGCGCAAGCCUGAUCCAGCAAUGCCGCGUGAGGGAAGAAGGCCUUCGGGUUGUAAAGCGCUUUUGUACGGAACGAAAAGGCUCUGGCUAAUACCUGGGGCUGAUGACGGUACCGUAAGAAUAAGCACCGGCUAACUACGUG